This 492-nucleotide ribosomal RNA is filed under the name uncultured bacterium. RNAcentral describes it as "partial 16S ribosomal RNA". It matches the Rfam family "Bacterial small subunit ribosomal RNA", at positions 29 to 507 of the family's 1533-position model. The record is from RNAcentral.
AGUGAACGCUGGCGGUAGGCCUAACACAUGCAAGUCGAACGGCAGCACAGUAAGAGCUUGCUCUUACGGGUGGCGAGUGGCGGACGGGUGAGGAAUACAUCGGAAUCUACUUUUUCGUGGGGGAUAACGUAGGGAAACUUACGCUAAUACCGCAUACGACCUACGGGUGAAAGCAGGGGAUCUUCGGACCUUGCGCGAUUGAAUGAGCCGAUGUCGGAUUAGCUAGUUGGCGGGGUAAAGGCCCACCAAGGCGACGAUCCGUAGCUGGUCUGAGAGGAUGAUCAGCCACACUGGAACGGAGACACGGUCCAGACGCCUACGGGAGGCAGCAGUGGGGAAUAUUGGACAAAGGGCGCAAGCCUGAUCCAGCCAUACCGCGUGGGUGAAGAAGGCCUUCGGGUUGUAAAGCCCUUUUGUUGGGAAAGAAAAGCAGCAGGUUAAGACCCCGCUGUUCUGACGGUACCCAAAGAAUAAGCACCGGCUAACUUCGUG